GAUGAACGCUGGCGGCGUGCCUAAUACAUGCAAGUCGAACGCUGAAGGAGGAGCUUGCUCUUCUGGAUGAGUUGCGAACGGGUGAGUAACGCGUAGGGAACCUGCCUGGUAGCGGGGGAUAACUAUUGGAAACGAUAGCUAAUACCGCAUGACAACAGUUAUUGCAUGAUAACUGUUUAAAAGGGGCAACUGCUCCACUACCAGAUGGACCUGCGUUGUAUUAGCUAGUUGGUGAGGUAACGGCUCACCAAGGCGACGAUACAUAGCCGACCUGAGAGGGUGAUCGGCCAACAUGGGACUGAGACACGGCCCAGACUCCUACGGGAGGCAGCAGUAGGGAAUCUUCGGCAAUGGACGGAAGUCUGACCGAGCAACGCCGCGGGAGGGAAGAAGGGUUUCGGGUCGUAAAGCUCUGUUGUAAGAGAAGAACGAGUGUGAGAGUGGAAAGUUCACGUUGUGACGGUAUCUUACCAGAAAGGGACGGCUAACUACGUG
RNAcentral lists this ribosomal RNA (495 nucleotides) under uncultured bacterium. RNAcentral's name for it is "partial 16S ribosomal RNA". It matches the Rfam family "Bacterial small subunit ribosomal RNA", at positions 28 to 507 of the family's 1533-position model. The record is from RNAcentral.